Long non-coding RNA from Physella acuta, 207 nucleotides. RefSeq lists it as uncharacterized. The record is from RefSeq and is a predicted model, not a curated record. Lineage: Eukaryota; Metazoa; Mollusca; Gastropoda; Physidae.
UCCAUACCCUUGACCUUUCACCUCAAAGACAACUCCAAGGUCCUUGGUAAGAAGAGAUGGAGUCAAGUCAUGUUCAUGAACUACGUCACAGAUAAUAAGUUUCUGAAUCACGAUGACGACAGCAGCUUCAUCCUGACGACAGAUGGAGACGUGAGUUUUAAGCCUGGCGCUGUGCGGGCUCUCAUUAAAAGACUGCAGGCUGACAAC